Nematostella vectensis (starlet sea anemone) is the source of this 1172-nucleotide long non-coding RNA. RefSeq lists it as uncharacterized. The record is from RefSeq and is a predicted model, not a curated record. NCBI's taxonomy places the organism in Eukaryota, Metazoa, Cnidaria, Anthozoa, Actiniaria, Edwardsiidae. The transcript has 3 exons.
UUCGGUAGCACUCAAAUAUCGUAGAAAUUCGAGAGGAAAAAACAACAAACAAAAUAUUUUUAUCUCGCAGACCUAUGCCAGGGUUCACUUACAUUCGAUUUGUGGCAAAACAUCCGAGCUAAACUAUUUUCCCUGGCCACUAGCCGUAUUUAAAACGAGAAAGUAGCCACAAGCAUCCUUGACCGACGCCGUUGGACGAGUAGCUCGGAAUUCGGCCAAUCUGAGAGGGGACGAGUGAAGAGUUUUUUGUGGAAUGUUGUAAAUAAAAUUUCCUUAAAACUUAGAACAUGCCUUAAUUUUAUUGACAACAUUUCACAAAAACGCUUUACUCGUCCCCUUUCAGAACAGCCAAAUUCCGAGCUACGAACAAGCAAGCAAGCAAUAAGGUCGGAGUUUGUGUUCCUAGUUCUUUCCCUGUUUUACAUGCUCGUGAAAUGCACCAGCGCCCGUUCUGGCGAUGUAUCUCUUUCUAAAAGAGAUGCCACAAGUGAGUCGUUGCGUCGAAUCGAGACUCCACUCGCUGUACUGGAAAAGAAAAUUGAUUCUUGCAAUCGUGGUGGAUCAGAACCCGUCUGCCUGAACGUACCCAGGAACUGUCUGCAAGUCUUGAAAUGUGGCGGAAAGGCCAGUAGAGUGUAUAUAAUUGACGCGGACGGCGACUGAAACUUCCCACCAUUCAAGGUACGGCGGGCGAUUCCCUGAGCGUUUCUAGUGUCAUGUCUUUCAACACAAAAGACAGAGAUAAUGACCUGUAUGGCGAUAGCUGUGCUGCGGUAUACAAAGGUGCUUGGUGUGGUAUAGGAUCUGCCACUUGGCUAACUGGCAUGUACCAUCAUGGCCACCACGCAUCCUUUGCCGACGGGAUAAAAUGGGUUACAUGGAAGGACUAAAACUACUCUGCUAAGAGUGCUGAUAUGAAGAUGAAGCCACAGGCCUCAGCUCUGUCGCCUUCAGCAAAGUAUCCACGAACAGUAUUAUCACGUGAAUAUUUUUUAAGUUAAUUCCUUCACGUUAUACUUCUGCACCUAUUAACCUACUGCAAAAAAUCAUAUUUUCACCUAUUCGAACAAUGACACGCAAACUUGUGCCUGACCCUUAGAAUAAAAAAAAAUUAAUUCCUAAGUAACUAGAGGAUUAUGAUUAUUACUUAAAAUAAAAAGCAUUUAGUGCAA